GAUGAAGAACGCAGCGAAAUGCGAUAAGUAAUGCGAAUUGCAGAAUUCCAGUGAGUCAUCGAAUCUUUGAACGCACAUUGCGCCCUUUGGUAUUCCGAAGGGCAUGCCUGUUCGAGCGUUAUUGAGACCUCAAGCUCUGCUUGGAAAUGGGCGCUUGUCUUGCCUUGCAGACUCGCCUUAAAACCAUUGGCAGCUGAUUUACAAUGUUUGGUGCACAGUACAUGAGCCCAAGUGUUGCAAUGAGUGGCCCAAAAGUAUACAAUAGAAGCUUAACCUCGGAUCAGGUAGGGAUACCCGCUGAACUUAAGCAUAUCAAUAAGCGGAGGA
Molecule: unclassified non-coding RNA, 327 nt
Filed under: soil metagenome
Description: partial contains 5.8S ribosomal RNA, internal transcribed spacer 2, and large subunit ribosomal RNA
Rfam family: 5.8S ribosomal RNA (bases 1-121)
Source: RNAcentral